Molecule: ribosomal RNA, 253 nt
Filed under: uncultured bacterium
Lineage: Bacteria
Description: partial 16S ribosomal RNA
Rfam family: Bacterial small subunit ribosomal RNA
Source: RNAcentral
UACGUAGGGUGCGAGCGUUAAUCGGAAUUACUGGGCGUAAAGCGUGCGCAGGCGGUUUUGUAAGACAGGCGUGAAAUCCCCGAGCUUAACUUGGGAAUGGCGCUUGUGACUGCAAGGCUAGAGUAUGUCAGAGGGGGGUAGAAUUCCACGUGUAGCAGUGAAAUGCGUAGAGAUGUGGAGGAACACCGGUGGCGAAGGCGGCAUCCUGGACCAACACUGACGCUGAGGAGCGAAAGCCAGGGGAGCAAACGGG